This 253-nucleotide ribosomal RNA is filed under the name uncultured bacterium. Its description in RNAcentral is "partial 16S ribosomal RNA". It matches the Rfam family "Bacterial small subunit ribosomal RNA", at positions 524 to 776 of the family's 1533-position model. The record is from RNAcentral.
GACGAAGGAUGCAAGCGUUAUCCGGAUUCAUUGGGUUUAAAGGGAGCGUAGGUGGCCUUAUAAGUCAGUGGUGAAAUCUCUCGGCUUAACUGAGAAAUUGCCAUUGAUACUGUAGGGCUUGAGUACAGAUGCCGUUGGCGGAAUAUGACAUGUAGUGGUGAAAUACAUAGAGAUGUCAUAGAACACCGAUUGCGAAGGCAGCUGACGAAACUGUAACUGACACUGAGGCUCGAAAGUGUGGGGAUCAAACAGG